This is a long non-coding RNA of Felis catus (domestic cat), 827 nucleotides long. RefSeq lists it as uncharacterized. The transcript has 2 exons. The record is from RefSeq and is a predicted model, not a curated record. Lineage: Eukaryota; Metazoa; Chordata; Mammalia; Carnivora; Felidae.
UAAACACAGCGAGAAAGACAGACAAGCCUACAGUUGGUGACAACACAAUGGAGUAAGUGUUCUUAUAGCAGCGCGACCUAUAAAAACAUCGCUUUCACCCAUCACGUUGUUUCGAUGCCUAGGGUCUCAUCAAGCCACCCCCUCCCUGGUGGACUUAGCUGCACCACUGUCACUUAGGAGGCUAACUGUGGGAGCGACACACUGACGUGCCCCUGGUAGCCCGGGCCGACAGCUCUGGCCACAGCACCGGGACCCGGGCAGUACAACGGAAGACCAAUACUACCUUAAGCGUGGAUGUUUCAAGAGGAGAGAGACCUGCACCUGUUUUGAUGGAUGACGUAUCCCGAGCACAGAACCUGUCACCAGCAGGCACUCGAUAUACAACUGCAUUAAUAAACGACCAGAACUGUGGCACAGCCACCUGCUGAAAAGUUCAGGGAUACCAGGUGAAUGCAGUGACAUUAUAAGGUGUAGUCUAAGAAUCAAUCCUGAUUUAUUUUUUUAGCUACAACAAAGUUCCCUUGUGCCGUGGCACCCAGAACAACUUGGGAGUUUAAUUUCUAAAGUGCACAACAGCGGUGGCUACAGAAAGGAUCUCUAUUCUACGCAUGGCAUCUAAAAUUAAUAAUUAUCAGUAAGACUGAAUUCCACACAUGCUUAAUACUAGUUUAAAUUCUUUUAAUUAAAAGUGCAAGACUGCUUGUAAAAGAAAUUAUGUCUUACCGGUAGGUCGGUGAAAGCAAUACCUAAAAAACAAACAAACAAAAACCAAAAAAAGUGGCAUUAGAAAUGGUUUUUCAAAGGCAGACAACAGUGACAAAGCUGAA